This 713-nucleotide ribosomal RNA is filed under the name Lactobacillus iners. RNAcentral describes it as "bacterial LSU rRNA". It matches the Rfam family "Bacterial large subunit ribosomal RNA", at positions 1021 to 1740 of the family's 2925-position model. Lineage: Bacteria; Bacillati; Bacillota; Bacilli; Lactobacillales; Lactobacillaceae. The record is from RNAcentral.
AACAGCCCAGAUCACCGGUUAAGGUCCCAAAAUCUAUGCUAAGUGGAAAAGGAUGUGGAGUUGCACAGACAACUAGGAUGUUGGCUCAGAAGCAGCCACCAUUUAAAGAGUGCGUAAUAGCUCACUAGUCGAGUGACGCUGCGCCGAAAAUUUACCGGGGCUAAGCAUAGUACCGAAACCGUGGAUGCAGUUAACUGCGUGGUAGGAGAGCGUUCUAAAGGCGGAGAAGGCAGAUCGAGAGGACUGUUGGAGCGUUUAGAAGUGAGAAUGCCGGUAUAAGUAGCGAAAGACAGGUGAGAAUCCUGUCCGCCGAAAGACUAAGGUUUCCUGGGGCAGGCUCGUCCGCCCAGGGUAAGUCGGGACCUAAGGUAAGGCCGAGAGGCGUAGCCGAUGGACAACAGGUAGAUAUUCCUGUACUAUUCGUAAUCGAUAAGAGCGAAGGAGGGACGCAGGAGGCUAAUGACGCAUGGAGAUGGAAUCAUGUGUAAGCGUUAAGGAAGGAUACGAGUCAAAUGCUUGUAGCCAAUUUUGAGACGUGAUGCGGAGUGAAAUCAAAGUAGCGAAGGUCAUGAAGUCACACUGCCAAGAAAAGCUUCUAGCCAGAGAGCGAGUACCCGUACCGCAAACCGACACAGGUAGUCGAGGAGAGAAUCCUCAGGUGAGCGAGAGAACUCUCGUUAAGGAACUCGGCAAAAUAACCCCGUAACUUAGGG